CCUCACUUGUCUCCCAUUAUUUCUUCCUCUUGGUGAUGAGAUCCUUUUUGGAGAUUAAUGCCAAAGGGGGAGAAAUAUUAGGGGAGAGUGUAAGGGAGGAGAGAUUGAUAUGCGGAUUUUAAAGGGGUUAAAGAGAGGCAUAUAAGAUUUUUCAAUUUUUUGUGUGGAAUGUGCAAAGAUAGUUUAAAUUGAUGCUCUUGAUAAGGACCAUUUAUGCUAGUGUGUGAUAUUCAUGCCUAUUGGGGGAGAGUGUAAGGGAGGAGAGAUUGAUAUGUGGAUUUUAAAGGGGUUAAAGAUAGGCAUAUGAGAUUUUUCAAUUUUUUGUGUGGAAUGUGCAAAGAUAGUUUAAAUUGAUGCUCUUGAUAAGGACCAUUUAUGCUAGUGUGUGAUAUUCAUGCCUUGAAUGAUGUAUUGUUUAUUUUUCUCUGAAGUGCAUGAAUUGUCAUGAG
Molecule: long non-coding RNA, 449 nt
Filed under: Sorghum bicolor (sorghum)
Lineage: Eukaryota; Viridiplantae; Streptophyta; Magnoliopsida; Poales; Poaceae
Description: long non-coding RNA (SBIC_LNC013976)
Source: RNAcentral